Molecule: long non-coding RNA, 234 nt
Filed under: Mytilus galloprovincialis (Mediterranean mussel)
Lineage: Eukaryota; Metazoa; Mollusca; Bivalvia; Mytilida; Mytilidae
Source: RNAcentral
UCUUAUUAGGUCUUUCCACUUUUCUGUGGAAAGACCUAUUGUUUUUCUUCUGAUUAUUUUUUUUUUUUUUUUUUUUUUCUUCCGCCAAAUUUUGUUCUUGCGAUAAACAUUUGUUUCGCAAUAUGUCGCUUAGAUAUUUGGUAUAUGAUAUCGAACAGUUUAUGCGCUUUUGAAAUUUACCCUGCGUAACCGAAUACUUUUCUUUGUAGGAGUUAUCUCCCAAACACUGUUUUC